CGUCGGUUCUAGGUCACACAAAAAAAUGUAUCCACGCCACAUACAAUCCCCUACGAACUUGUAUAGCAAACCACCCCGAAAAAAUCACUCAUUCGUCGCAUAAACUAAAAAUAAAAAUACAUUUAAAAAAAAAAAAAAAAGAAGUAACAAGAUAAAAAUGUUAACGCAAAUCAUAAGAGGAUAUUUAAAGGAAGCUUCGGCAUAUAAGAGAUCUUGUCGUUAGGUGGUAGCAGUGUACUCGAAGGGGUGGCAAAAGCGAGGCCACGACACUGUAUCGAAGGGGGGUUAGCUCGUAUCCGUGUCACGAAUGCGCGCGUCUGCAAUCCACCUCCUGCUACCCUCCACGGCCACCAUCGAAAGAGGUGAAUGCAGUUGGCCAUCAUUUUACAACCCGUUCGGACGCCAUUCAGAUGCGUUCGAUGGAACUGGCAGGUUGUAACGCGCGAGUCACCAUCGACUCUGCAUCAUCGUUACCAUCAUCAUUAUCAUCAUCAUUAUCAUCGUCAUCAUCAUCAUUAUCAUCACCGUCGUUGUCGUCGUCGUCAUCGUCAUCGUCAUUGUCGUGGUCAUUAUCACCGUCGUAAUUUUCGUCAUCGAAAUCUCUUCGUUCAGCGUUUAUUAUCAACAUGGGUAGUGGAACCGAGUGACGAUCGAAUUAUUGAACACGUGGAAAAAGAAAGAGAAAGAGAGAGAGAGAGAAAGAGAGAGAGAGAAAGAGAGAAAGGUCUAAGAGAUAUCAGAAAAAGGCGUCAAAAUUUAAUUUGACGAAAGAAAUAGAAGAAGAAAAAGAAAUCGAAGAAAAGAAAUAGACGAAUGUGUUGGAAAAAUAAACUCAUCGUCCUCUUGGUGGACGCUUUCGACAGAGUGGAACGAUCGCUUUAAAAAAGCUUCAAAAGAAAGAGUCACGUUCCGACUGUCUCCGAGAACGUCUCGGAAGAGAAUGUCAAGGUACCGCUUUGUAGUCGUUAUGUUCAUUACCCUGAGAGACACGCCUACGCAACACCUGAAUACCGAUUUUCCUUUCGGCCUACGCAUAUCAAAACAAAGCUCUUAACUAAUAUAUAUAUUUCUUUUCUUGUAUUCCCAAUUUUCUUCACAUUUCUUGCACUUUUUUCUCAUAUCCUUUUUCUUUCUAUUAUCAAAUUCAUGCAUUUUUGUAUGAAAUUUUUUAAAUAUUCUUUCUCAUUAAUGCGAAAAGACAAAAUUGUAGUCAAGACAAAUUUUAAUGAAAUGGCAUCAAAUUAUUUAUUCCAACAAUUCAUUGUUAAUAUUGAAAUUAUAUUAUUCAAAUUUCAAUUAUAUAAAUUUAAAGACAAAAUUUUCGAACGAAGAUUCUAUUAUUCUUGAUCUUUGAAGAGAAACAUCGAUAGAAGAUUUAUUCAAAAUUUCCUACUUGUUUCUAAAUUUUUCUAAUACAAAUUCAACGACGAUAUAACUUUUCUCAAUUCAAUUUUUGAUAAACUCGUAUAAAACUCAUACGACGAAAACUACUAAUAGAAAUAAAAAUAAGAAAAUCCCAUGAAAUGUAAGAAAAAAAAUGUAAGAGGUAAAAAGUGAAAGAGAGAGGGAUUAUUUUCAAAUAUUCAGCAAAUAAAUGGAGCAUCAUAAUUUAGCAGAGAACGCGUGCAUAAAAAGAACAAUGAAAGGCCUCAGAGGGCCGACAUGCGAUUCUCAAAAGCAGUUUUUGCAGUAGUGAGCAAGAAGGAGGAUGAGGAUCGUUCGCGGCCAAUGACUCGGGACAAACAGUAGAAGCUUUAUAGUGUCGACAUACGUUGCUUUUAAACGAGAUCUCAUUGAGCGCUCAGUGAACUUUAUAGGUAUAUGAUCAGCGAUCCAUGCGAAUGGAGAAAACCCUUUGGACCUCAAUGGGUCCAUCUCUGUUGUCUGUAUGCAUAUGUUUACGUAUACGUAUGUCUAUGUAGAAUCCUCGAUAUCGAUAACGCUCGAGCGCUUGCUUUUCGGUUCACCUCGAUUCAUCAUAUCAACGUGAAGCGUGAAAAUAAAGUAAAGGAAGAAAAA
RNAcentral lists this long non-coding RNA (2019 nucleotides) under Polistes fuscatus (common paper wasp). RNAcentral describes it as "uncharacterized LOC122516788". The record is from RNAcentral. Lineage: Eukaryota; Metazoa; Arthropoda; Insecta; Hymenoptera; Vespidae.